GUAGAAGUUAGUAUAAGUGCCAGACUGUGAUAGUCAUGAGCCGGGGUAAGCUUGGUACUACUUCUUUAUUUCUUUGUUUUUUUGUUGUUGAAGAGUAAUGGAUAGUUUUUGAAUACUGAGAAGUGAGUCUGUGGAAUAAAUCAGAGAUUGAUUUAUGAGUUAUUGAUUAUGUAAUUGGAGCACUGAGUGAUUGAAUUAUAUGAAGAGUUAUUGAAAGAUUAUGAUUGUUGUUUAUUGAGAGCUGUGUGUGUUUUGGACAAAAGAAGUUGGUGAUUACGAAAAUUUUGUGAAUUCAAAUUGGUUGGAGUAAAGUUUGUUAUUUCUGGUGUUGGAUGGAAAUUAUUGUAUUUUGAGUGGUCUUUUGAGAGUGUAAAGUUAUACACUGUUGUUAUCAAUUGAUGAAGGAAUAUUGUUACUAGGAGAAAACAUCGUAGUGUUUCUUAGUGUUUUAGUGGUUCGGAAUACGAUUAAUUGUAUAAUCUUAAUAAGUAAAACUCAUGCACUUAGUCUUUCCCUGUGUUCGAAUUCCCCUAUACAGGUUUAUUCUGAAAGGAAUUGUAGAAUAAGUAAAACGACAAUCACAAUUAUCUUUCAUCUUCUUCACUCAUGUAAACUUGUUGCAUCUCUUGACUAACUGCCAUUGCUUCUUGUGCUCAUCAUUGCUAUUGA
RNAcentral lists this long non-coding RNA (669 nucleotides) under Physcomitrium patens. Its description in RNAcentral is "long non-coding RNA (PPAT_LNC008144)". Lineage: Eukaryota; Viridiplantae; Streptophyta; Bryopsida; Funariales; Funariaceae. The record is from RNAcentral.